GCAGCCACCAAUCUAGCGAACUGUUGUCUACAUCUUGAUGCCUUUACCUACCUUAAUUCCAUAAACUGCAUAGCUCUAACAAUUAUUUUUCCUUUAGGUACAACCCCAAGAAGCUGACCUAUGAGCAGAGGAAGGCCAGCCUCGUCGAAAGGCUCAACGCCCUCAACUCCUCGGGUGGUGCUGAUGACGACGAUGAUGAGGAUGACGAGUGAAGUGUAGUCCCAUCGUAGUAGUUCUAUCUUAUGUGGUGAUCUGAACUUGUGCUGUGGCACUUAUUUACCUGUAGUCCUGCAACAGGCAU
Molecule: long non-coding RNA, 301 nt
Filed under: Setaria viridis
Lineage: Eukaryota; Viridiplantae; Streptophyta; Magnoliopsida; Poales; Poaceae
Description: long non-coding RNA (SVIR_LNC006180)
Source: RNAcentral